This 5509-nucleotide long non-coding RNA is filed under the name Homo sapiens (human). RNAcentral describes it as "HSALNT0077670". Lineage: Eukaryota; Metazoa; Chordata; Mammalia; Primates; Hominidae. The record is from RNAcentral.
GAGGGACAGAGGAGAAAAUAGUAGGCAAAGUGUUGGCGUGAGGCAGGUGGUGGAUGAGGCAGUCGCAAAGAGAAAGGAUUGCAACAUCAGGGAGGAGAUGAAAGGCCUCAUAUCAUUUUGCAGCCAACAAGAAACCUGAAGGAACUAAGUUUGGCUCUAUUUCUACAGCUUGUGAAAAGCUGAGAAUGGAAGCAAUGACUGGGCUAAUUCUGGACAAAAUUUUUUAAAAUGAUUUUUGUCAGAGGAGCCCAGAUCUUUGCCUCAAUUCUUUGCUUUUGUCUAAAUUGCUCAUUUUUCCAAAUUUCUAGCUCACCAGACAAGAAACAGAAAAGUGUUUUGAGUACUUUGAAUCAAAAGUGGUCUCUGAAUUUAAGGCAUUUUUAUUAUUUUAUGUGUUAUUUGUAGUUCAAAAGGGUCUUCCUAUUCAUCAUAGUAUUAGAGGCAUUUGAUGGAAAAGUAGUGUGCCAAGGUGAUUAGUGACAACAACAACAAAAGCAACUUAUUUUUGAGCCUGUGAAAGGCCCUCUUCUAGACACUUUAUACAACAGCUGUAUCCUUAUUGAUAGCCCUGCAAGAAAAGCUAUUUUCCAAGAAGAAAAAGAAAAUGGAAGUACAAAUUUCCAACAGCACACAUUUUCUCUGCUCUCUCCUUGGCUCUGAAAGAGGAUGCGUGAAACAGAAUUUCAGGCUGUAAUUAAUGCAGCUCUUCAUAAGAUAAGAGGUUCUUUUAUCUACAGAAAAAUUGCUGCACUAAUUCCCAACAAGAAGUGCAAUGCUCCGGUUAAUGCUCUUUCUACAAGAAGAAUUCACCUUUUCUACCCUCUACAUAUUUACAGACAAAUUUGAAUAUUUUGUUAUGGGAAACUGAAGAUGGGUAAACAUACAAUGAUAAUAGUACUUUAUAGGGCUAAAUCUAAAAGCCUUAAAGAUUAAUAUUAUGUUUGGAUAAAUGCUGAAUAAGUUUACAUAAAGAAUUUUCAAAUAACAUUGACGCUACAGGCAUGUACUUGUAAGCACAGACCUUAAUUGGGCACAACUUAGAUCCAGCACUCUUUGAGGGGGAGAAUAAACAAAUUGGGAAAUGCAUCCUCAUUUGAUACAGUGAGGAAAAAGAGCUAUGGUUCCUUGCUCUGCUUUAAAGUACUGUCCAAAGAAGGAUGAAGCCCCGCUAUUUCAUUUUGAUUUAAAUAUUUCCUUGUAGAAUGCACAUUCCAAUUUGGAAACAAUACUUUCUAUAUGUAUGUUUCAUGUAUGUGCUUGGAAUAAUUGGUAAUGUGUUGGCACUGUGUUCCACUUAAAUGCAUGGCAUUUGUAUACUAUUUAAUGUUUUGUUGUUGUUGUUGUUUUUGAGAUGGAGUCUCAGUCUGUUGCCCAGGCUGGAGUGCAAUGGUGUGAUCUAGGCUCACUGCAACCUCUGCCUCCCGGGUUCAAGCAAUUCUCCUGCCUCAGCCUCCUGAGUAACUGGGAUUACAGGCGCCUGCCACCACGCCUGGCUAAUUUUUUUUUUUUUUUUUUUUUUUUUUUUUUUUUUUUUUUUUAGUAGAGAUGGGGUUUCUCCAUGUUGGCCAGACUGGUCUUGAACUCCUGAACUCAGGUGAUCCACACACCUUGGCCUCCCAAAGUGCUGGGAUUACAGGCGUGAGCCACUGCACCGGCCUUUUAAUGUUUUCUUAAAAACCAGUUUUCUAAGAAAAAAAGAAGAAUGGGAAUACAGCAAAUGAGUAGAAGACAGAGAUCACAAGAAUCGUGCCUGAGGUCCUGGCAAAGAAGACCCCACUGUAAGGCAGAAUGGCACCUCUGAUUCAUUGGCCCCUUUGUAUUGUUCUCAAUUUCUAUAUCCAUAAAUAAUAAGAUUUUCAUUCCCUUCCUUCCACUCUGUGAGGUGGAUGUGAAAUAGGUAGAGAGGUUUGUCACUGGGUGCAAGGCUAAGAUGCUCAGUUAAAGCAGGAAAUUACGUUGUUUGGCUGAGAAAUACGUGUAAUUUCUAAGUGUGAUUAUUGCAAGUAAAAAUGAGUGAUGUUUCAACAAGAGGGUUAUUGUAAUUCAGGGUAUAGCAACAAUUUUAAUGUAAGCGAGAAGAUGUUUGUAACACUUCCAAAAAAAUAGUACUGUAUCAGUCCAGUGUCCACUUUCCUCCAAACCUUCGUGCCCACGCACACACACAUAAAUACAUGCAGGAUUCCUGAGCAGGGAAGGAUCCUUUCUCACGUGUUCACAAAGAGACUUUUAAGCUCAGAACCUCUUGAGGGUGAGAAACUUUUCUUGGCAGACUAUCAACUGGUUCUGAGUGAACAAAUCCGACAGAGCCCUUUUCCUUGCUUCUUUUUGUUCAUAUUGUUCACCCUCUCACAGCAAGGAAGGCUGCUAGGUAGAGUAAGGGGACUCUCAAAGGAGAUGAAGGUAAAUUUUUCUGGAAUAGCUGCAGAGCAAUUCUAAUGCUUCAGUUAAUCUGUUACCUCUUUCCUUGCCCCUAGCCUUCAGUUUUCCUUUUGUAUCCUGAAAAUAACAUUGACAUUAAAUUGGGUCAGUGGAAAAAAAUCAGUCACCAACUGUUGCUUAUAAUUUUGCCCCCAAGAAAACAUUUGGUAACUAACCCUUAUCUAGAGUACACACUAUGCACAGCUCCUAGGGUGAUAUUUGAAUCUAUUCACCUUAGGGAAAGUUGUUGAUUCUUUUAGACUCAAAUUUCCACAAUCAGAAAAUUCACCUAAUGCCUUUCUAAUGUGUUAUGCUUCACAGAAGGAGUUUAAGAUCAGUGUAAAUAGAUAUACACCCAAUAGAAGUCAUUGCAAUAUACACGAGCAGACAUGUCCAAGUAUGCUUAUAGUUGCACUAUUCAAAUCAACCUAAACUACUUGAAAUUAAACGGCGAUUGACAGGAAAAUAAAAUGUGGCAUUCAAACAUGGAAUUCUAUAAGGCAGCAAAAAUGAACGGACUACAGCUACAUACAAUACAGAUGAAUCUUAAAAACAUAAUGCAUGAAAACAUAAGUUUCAAAGAUUACUAAUAACAUAAAACCCCCUCUACAUAAAAAAGUAACUUAAGGCCAGGCACAGUGGCUCAUGCCUGUAAUCCCAGUGCUUUGGGAGACCGAGGUGGGCGAAUCACCUGAGGUCAGGAGUUCAAGACCAGCCUGGCCAACAUUGUGCAACCCCGUCUCUACUAAAAACACAAAAAUUAGCCAGGUAUGGUGUUGCAUGCCUGUAAUCUCAGCUACUCAGGAGGCUGAGGCAGGAGAAUUGCUUGAACCCAGGAGGCAGAGGUUGCAGUGAGCCGGGAUCACGCCACUGCACUCCAGCCUUGGCAACAGAGUGAGACUCCAUCUAAAAAAAAAAAAAAAAGUAACUUAAAAAAUUAUUUAGUAGGUAUACCUACAGUGAUAAAACUACAUAAAAAUCCUAAGAGUAGUACUUACACUGGGGGUGGGAAGGCAGGGACAGGAAGAGGGAGAGUAGUACACAGGUGGAUUAUUGUCAGUGUUUCAAACAAACAUUUGUUCAUGUUAACUCAUUAUAUUAUUGAACAUUAAUAAUCAAAGGACCAUGCAUAAGGAAAAAACUGACACGGAAUAUCAAAGUAUUGGCAGAGAAAAACCAUGAUGAGUAUAUAGUGAUGUUCACAGUGAAAUGCCAUAGGAUACUCAGUUUUGUGCAAAAUAAAUAACAAAACUCAGAACUCAUCAUAAGGGAACAUGCCACAGAAUCUGACUCUGGCCACCUCUAAUCGUUCCUCAUGUCUGCUUUUUCAUUUGUUUGUUUGUUUUGAGACAGAGCCUUGCUCUGUUGCCCAGGCUGGAGUGCAGUGGCACGAUCCUGGCUCACUGCAACCUCUGCCUCCUGGGUUCAAGUGAUUUUCCUGCCUCAGCCUCCCAAGUAGCUGGGAUUACAGACGUGCACCACCACACCUGGUUAUUGUAUUCUUAGUAGAGACAGGGUUUCACCAUGUUGGCCAAGCUGUUUUCAAACUCCUGGCCUCAAGUGAUCCACCCACCUCAACCCCACAAAGUGCCUGUAACCACUGCACGAGGACUCCUCACGUCUGUUUGAUCCUUACCUGACUUCUUUGGGAACCAUCUUCCUUCUAGUUUGAAUCCCUAAUUGUAGAUAUUUCCUGUGACUUUAUCUUUGCUCCUCUUUUUUCUUCCCUAUAUAAUCUCUCACUGGAAGAGCACAACCACUCCCAUGGCUCCAACUGCCUUUCAGAUGCUCCCAAAUCCAUCCAUCCAACAUUGAUCUCCCACGGGUAGCAUUAAACCAACUGCUUCCAGGGUAAAUCCUCUAGGAUUCUAGCUAUUUUCUUUUUUCUUUUCUUUUUUUUUUUUUUUUUUUUUUUGAGACGGAGUCUCGAUCUGUCGCCCAGGCAGGGUGACCAGGAACUAGUCACUCAAGCUCUCUGUUAAUUUCCUCAUCUCUGAAAAGCGGUGUCUAUAGAUAUCAUUUCUAAGCUCCUGUUUCUAAAUUUCUAUGAAUUCAUGAAUUAUUGACUCUUCUUGACAUUAGCUAUUUGUCCAGGAUAUCACUAUUAUUCUAGGCUUAUCUUUGACUUAUUUCUAUUUUUGUGUGCUGAUUCCUAAUCUGAUGCCAAAUUUUGUCAUUUCUCUUAUUGAAAUGUCUCUCAAAUUUACCCCAUUUUAUCCAUUUCCUUGGUUUUCCCUUAGUCCUGGACCUAAUAAGUUUAGACUUAGAUUACUUGAAAGGUGUCCAGACAGGUUUCCCUGCUUCCUGUCCCCUCCUUCAUUCAAGUCCUCUGACACACCACUUCUAGAUUAUUCAUGAAAAUAUAAUAAAAAUUGUCACACCCACUUAAGAGCAUUCUUAUUUAAUUCUGUGUUAUCUACUAAAGCAAUUCCAAUAUCUCUGGCUAGUUUAAGACCCUCCAUGACUCCAUGUGACUGAUCUCUCCAGCUUUCUUACCACUCCUCAGCACUUAAACUGCAUUGAAACGAGUGUCAUUGAAGUCACACAAGCAUGUACCUAAACUCCAGCUUCUAAGCCUUUAUCCAUGCCAAUUCCUCAAACUAAAAUGUUCUCUUUCUCUUUUUUCCCAAAGAUGUGCAUUUUUCAAGGACCAACUAAAAUUCCACCUAUUUAGAGCUUUCUCUAGCAUUUCAAGUCUCUGUUAAACUUUCUUCUCACCUAAAUACAACAGCAGCUAAAACUCGAUGAUGGACAAUUGAUUAUUGCUUCUUAAUUUUUCAAAGCAUUGUUUGUUUUAAUCUCCCAACCAAAUUAAAAUAUUCCUAAAGGCAGAAAUCAUGUCUCAAAUCUUUCUUAUAGUUUCCUUUCUUAUGGUUUCUUAUUCAUUGAAUAAAUAUUAAUCUCAAGUGCUGAAAGUGUGUACAUCCUAAAUAAAAUCAGUAUCUAUGAGGAUAUGUUCAAUUUAACCUUUAUUGAGCACUACUUUUAUAAGGGUCUGUGAUAGUCAUGAGGGACUUGAAACUUGAAUACAUAAUUCUCCUUGAGAAGCUCAGACUCUUUUAAAUUUGGAGUAAUACAUUCUACUACCUGU